CAGUAGCCGCGGUAAUACGAAGGGGGCUAGCGUUGCUCGGAAUUACUGGGCGUAAAGGGCGCGUAGGCGGCGAUCAAAGUCAGGCGUGAAAUUCCUGGGCUCAACCUGGGGGCUGCGCUUGAUACUUGGUUGCUUGAGUGGGGAAGAGGGUCGUGGAAUUCCCAGUGUAGAGGUGAAAUUCGUAGAUAUUGGGAAGAACACCGGUGGCGAAGGCGGCGACCUGGUCCUUGACUGACGCUGAGGCGCGAAAGCGUGGGGAGCAAACAGGAUUAGAUACCCCUGUAGUCCCUGUCUCUUAUAC
Molecule: ribosomal RNA, 301 nt
Filed under: uncultured bacterium
Lineage: Bacteria
Description: partial 16S ribosomal RNA
Rfam family: Bacterial small subunit ribosomal RNA
Source: RNAcentral